UACUAGAGUAGCACUCGCAUAUCAAUAAGCGGAGGAAAAGAAACUAACAAGGAUUCCCCUAGUAACGGCGAGUGAAGCGGGAAGAGCUCAAAUUUGAAAUCUUAAAGGGUUUCCCUUUACGAAUUGUAGUUUAAAGAAGUGUUUUCUGUUGAGGUUUUGGUAAAAGUUCCUUGGAAUAGGACAUCAUAGAGGGUGAGAAUCCCGUAUUUGACCUUUACUUUCAACUUUGUGAUACACUUUCAAAGAGUCGGAUUGUUUGGGAAUGCAGUCCAAAAUGGGUGGUAAAUUUCAUCUAAAGCUAAAUAUUGGCGAGAGACCGAUAGCGAACAAGUACCGUGAGGGAAAGAUGAAAAGAACUUUGAAAAGAGAGUUAAACAGUACGUGAAAUUGUCAAAAGGGAAGCGUUUGACACCAGUGUUGUUUUUCUGAAAAUCAAUUAAAGAACUGUUUAUGCUAAGCUGUUUAGACUUUAUCAGCUAUCUGUUUAGUUUUAGGCUUUUCUUUAAUGCACUUUUCAGUUAACAAGUCAACAUCAAUUUCUUUUGCUGUAAAAAAGCUUGAGGAAGGUGGCUUGAGAUUCGUCUUAAGUGUUUAUAGCCUCUUGCCUAUGCAGUCGGAGAGAUUGAGGUCUGCAGCGUAGAUCCUUCGGGGCUAAAUGCAUUUGUGCUAAGUUAUAGCAUUUUAUAGACAACUUGUUGACUAUGAUUUGUCUUGUAGCUUACUCGCUUAUGUUAUUUUACCUACGCUUAGGAUGUUGAGCGCAUGUCUCUCUCU
Molecule: ribosomal RNA, 774 nt
Filed under: uncultured Neocallimastigales
Lineage: Eukaryota; Fungi; Neocallimastigomycota; Neocallimastigomycetes; Neocallimastigales
Description: partial large subunit ribosomal RNA
Rfam family: Eukaryotic large subunit ribosomal RNA
Source: RNAcentral